Molecule: ribosomal RNA, 445 nt
Filed under: uncultured bacterium
Lineage: Bacteria
Description: bacterial SSU rRNA
Rfam family: Bacterial small subunit ribosomal RNA
Source: RNAcentral
GCUAAACGCGAAGAACCUUACCUGGGCUUGAACUGUCGGUAUAGGGACCCGAAAGGGCGACGAUCCCGGGCAACCGGGAAGCCGAUAGAGGUGCUGCAUGGCUGUCGUCAGCUCGUGUCGUGAGAUGUUGGGUUAAGUCCCGCAACGAGCGCAACCCUUGUCUUUAGUUGCCAGCGAGUCAUGUCGGGCACUCUAAGGAGACUGCCUCGGAUAACGAGGAGGAAGGUGGGGAUGACGUCAAGUCAGCAUGGCCUUUAUGUCCAGGGCUACACACGUGCUACAAUGGGCGGCACAGAGGGACGCGAGACCGCGAGGUCAAGCCAACCCUUAAAACCGUUCUCAGUUCGGAUUGCAGGCUGCAAUUCGCCUGCAUGAAGUCGGAAUCGCUAGUAAUCGCGGAUCAGCUACGCCGCGGUGAAUACGUUCUCGGGUCUUGUACACACCG